This 453-nucleotide ribosomal RNA is filed under the name uncultured bacterium. RNAcentral describes it as "bacterial SSU rRNA". It matches the Rfam family "Bacterial small subunit ribosomal RNA", at positions 8 to 507 of the family's 1533-position model. The record is from RNAcentral.
AGAGUUUGAUCAUGGCUCAGAACGAACGCUGGCGGCAUGCCUAAUACAUGCAAGUCGAACGAAGGCUUCGGCCUUAGUGGCGCACGGGUGCGUAACGCGUGGGAAUCUACCCUUGGGUUCGGAAUAACAGUUAGAAAUGACUGCUAAUACCGGAUGAUGACGUAAGUCCAAAGAUUUAUCGCCCAAGGAUGAGCCCGCGUAAGAUUAGCUAGUUGGUGAGGUAAAGGCUCACCAAGGCUACGAUCUUUAGCUGGUCUGAGAGGAUGAUCAGCCACACUGGGACUGAGACACGGCCCAGACUCCUACGGGAGGCAGCAGUAGGGAAUAUUGGACAAUGGGCGAAAGCCUGAUCCAGCAAUGCCGCGUGAGUGAUGAAGGCCUUAGGGUUGUAAAGCUCUUUUACCCGAGAUGAUAAUGACAGUAUCGGGAGAAUAAGCUCCGGCUAACUCCGUG